RNAcentral lists this ribosomal RNA (427 nucleotides) under uncultured beta proteobacterium. Its description in RNAcentral is "bacterial SSU rRNA". It matches the Rfam family "Bacterial small subunit ribosomal RNA", at positions 355 to 774 of the family's 1533-position model. The record is from RNAcentral. Lineage: Bacteria; Pseudomonadati; Pseudomonadota; Betaproteobacteria.
UGGGGAAUUUUGGACAAUGGGCGAAAGCCUGAUCCAGCCAUGCCGCGUGAGUGAAGAAGGCCUUCGGGUUGUAAAGCUCUUUUAGUCGGAAAGAAAGAGUCGCAAUGAAUAAUUGUGAUUUAUGACGGUACCGACAGAAAAAGCACCGGCUAACUACGUGCCAGCAGCCGCGGUAAUACGUAGGGUGCGAGCGUUAAUCGGAAUUACUGGGCGUAAAGGGUGCGCAGGCGGUUCCUUAAGUCUGAUGUGAAAGCCCCGGGCUUAACCUGGGAAUUGCGUUUGAAACUACAAGGCUAGAGUGCAGCAGAGGGGAGUGGAAUUCCAUGUGUAGCAGUGAAAUGCGUAGAGAUGUGGAAGAACACCGAUGGCGAAGGCAGCUCCCUGGGUUGACACUGACGCUCAUGCACGAAAGCGUGGGGAGCAAACA